RNAcentral lists this ribosomal RNA (450 nucleotides) under uncultured bacterium. RNAcentral describes it as "bacterial SSU rRNA". It matches the Rfam family "Bacterial small subunit ribosomal RNA", at positions 354 to 796 of the family's 1533-position model. The record is from RNAcentral.
GUGAGGAAUUUUCCGCAAUGGGCGCAAGCCUGACGGAGCGACGCCGCGUGAGGGAUGACGGCCUUCGGGUUGUAAACCUCUUUUAUUAGGGAAAAAGGUUGGCAUGCUAAUACCAUGUCAAUUUGAUGGUACCUGUUGAAUAAGCCCCGGCUAACUACGUGCCAGCAGCCGCGGUAAUACGUAGGGGGCGAGCGUUGUCCGGAGUUACUGGGCGUAAAGAGCGUGUAGGCGGUUGGAAAAGUCAGGUGUGAAAUUCUUCGGCUCAACCGGGGGACUGCGCCUGAAACUUUCCGACUGGAGUUCGGGAGGGGCAACUGGAAUUCCUGGUGUAACGGUGAAAUGUGUAGAUAUCAGGAGGAACACCCGUGGCGAAGGCGGGUUGCUGGACCGAAACUGACGCUGAGACGCGAAAGCGUGGGUAGCAAACAGGAUUAGAAACCCGGGUAGUCC